This 420-nucleotide ribosomal RNA is filed under the name Arcobacter venerupis. Its description in RNAcentral is "partial 23S ribosomal RNA". It matches the Rfam family "Bacterial large subunit ribosomal RNA", at positions 754 to 1173 of the family's 2925-position model. Lineage: Bacteria; Pseudomonadati; Campylobacterota; Epsilonproteobacteria; Campylobacterales; Arcobacteraceae. The record is from RNAcentral.
GUGUAAGAGCCAGUGGAGGACCGAACCGAUAGGCGUUGAAAAGUCACCGGAUGACUUGUGGAUAGGGGUGAAAGGCCAAUCAAGCUGCGUGAUAGCUGGUUCUCUCCGAAAUAUAUUUAGGUAUAGCCUUGUGUUGUGGCAUAUAGGGGGAGAGCACUGAAUGGGCUAGGGCUGCUUACCGCGGUACCAAACCCUAUCAAACUAUGAAUACUAUAUGUGGAAUCACAGGAGUCAGGCGAUGGGUGAUAAAAUCUACCGUCGAGAGGGGAACAACGCAGACUAACAGUUAAUGUCCCUACGUGACAUCUAAGUAGAAAACGUCGUGGAGUUACUGUGACAACCAUGUGGUUGGCUUAGCAUCAGCCCUCCGUUCUAGACAGCGUCACAGAUUAAUGGCAUAGUGUUUCAGCGCGAUAACGU